GUCUCAGAUAGCUUAGCUGGAAGAGCGCUUGGUGCAUAACCAAAAGAUCUGGUUUCGAUCCCCGGUCCGGGCU
This 73-nucleotide transfer RNA is filed under the name Cotesia glomerata. RNAcentral describes it as "tRNA-Met". Lineage: Eukaryota; Metazoa; Arthropoda; Insecta; Hymenoptera; Braconidae. The record is from RNAcentral.